AUUGAACGCUGGCGGCAGGCUUAACACAUGCAAGUCGAACGAGUGGCGGACGGGUGAGUAAUGCUUGGGAAUCUAGCUUAUGGAGGGGGAUAACUACGGGAAACUGUAGCUACUACCGCGUACCAUAGGAUGAGCCCAAGGGGGAUUAGGUAGUUGGUGAGGUAAAGGCGCACCAAGCCGACGAUCUCCAGCUGGUCUGAGAGGAUGACCAGCCACACUGGGACUGAGAAACGGCGCAGACUCCUACGGGAGGCAGCAGUGGGGAAUAUUGCGCAAUGGGGGAAACCUGACGCAGCCAUGCCGAGUGAAUGAAGAAGGCCUUCGGGGUGUAAAGUUCUUUCGGUAGCGAGGCGUUAACUACAGAAGAAGCACCGGCUAACUCCGUGCCAGCGAACGCGGUGAAUC
RNAcentral lists this ribosomal RNA (405 nucleotides) under uncultured bacterium. RNAcentral describes it as "partial 16S ribosomal RNA". It matches the Rfam family "Bacterial small subunit ribosomal RNA", at positions 29 to 526 of the family's 1533-position model. The record is from RNAcentral.